This 492-nucleotide ribosomal RNA is filed under the name uncultured bacterium. RNAcentral describes it as "partial 16S ribosomal RNA". It matches the Rfam family "Bacterial small subunit ribosomal RNA", at positions 29 to 507 of the family's 1533-position model. The record is from RNAcentral.
AGUGAACGCUGGCGGUAGGCCUAACACAUGCAAGUCGAACGGCAGCACAGUAAGAGCUUGCUCUUACGGGUGGCGAGUGGCGGACGGGUGAGGAAUACAUCGGAAUCUACUUUUUCGUGGGGGAUAACGUAGGGAAACUUACGCUAAUACCGCAUACGACCUACGGGUGAAAGCAGGGGAUCUUCGGACCUUGCGCGAUUGAAUGCGCCGAUGUCGGAUUAGCUAGUUGGCGGGGUAAAGGCCCACCAAGGCGACGAUCCGUAGCUGGUCUGAGAGGAUGAUCAGCCACACUGGAACUGAGACACGGUCCAGACUCCUACGGGAGGCAGCAGUGGGGAAUAUUGGACAAUGGGCGCAAGCCUGAUCCAGCCAUACCGCGUGGGUGAAGAAGGCGUUCGGGUUGGAAAGCCCUUUUGUUGGGAAAGAAAAGCAGCAGGUUAAGACCCCGCUGUUCUGACGGUACCCAAAGAAUAAGCACCGGCUAACUUCGUG